This 253-nucleotide ribosomal RNA is filed under the name uncultured bacterium. RNAcentral's name for it is "partial 16S ribosomal RNA". It matches the Rfam family "Bacterial small subunit ribosomal RNA", at positions 524 to 776 of the family's 1533-position model. The record is from RNAcentral.
UACGGGGGGGGCAAGCGUUGUUCGGAAUUACUGGGCGUAAAGGGCUCGUAGGCGGCCAACUAAGUCGGAUGUGAAAUCCCCAGGCUUAACCUGGGAACUGCAUCCGAUACUGGAUGGCUUGAAUUCGGGAGAGGGAUGCAGAAUUCCAGGUGUAGCGGUGAAAUGCGUAGAUAUCUGGAGGAACACCGGUGGCGAAGGCGGCGUCCUGGACCAACACUGACACUGAUGAGCGAAAGCCAGGGGAGCAAACGGG